Long non-coding RNA from Zonotrichia leucophrys gambelii, 590 nucleotides. RefSeq lists it as uncharacterized. The record is from RefSeq and is a predicted model, not a curated record. NCBI's taxonomy places the organism in Eukaryota, Metazoa, Chordata, Aves, Passeriformes, Passerellidae. The transcript is spliced from 3 exons.
AAUGAAAUUUGCGAAGUUUUUUCGGUUUCGGCGCCAUUUUCGAGUGGACUCGGAGUGUUGAGAAAAAACUGUGGAUCCUGGAAUUUUACAGUGGAUUUUACUGGUUUUCUGGAGUGCUCUCGCACUGAAGCAGUGAUCUGGUUCUCCAGAGAGGCUGUGCAGGAUGUGCCUGUGUUCAGAGGUGAGUUGGCAAGGUAAGCUCAUAUCCCACCUGCUCCAAAAGUCCUGAGCACCUCUGGGUAAAUGCAGGUCCCUCUGACACACAAAUCCCUUCUUAGGCACUGCAGAUAAUACCUAGGAGAGGGUAAUUGAACUCAAAUUACCCUGUUCAGCUGCCAAUUUCUGAUGUAAAGUUGAGUUUCCAAAGCACAAACUAAGUUUGAAAGAAGCUGAAGUGGAGAUGGGAUAAUUCAAACAUGGAACUUUGUGUUGCAUAAAAUAUUGAUGCUGUCAUGUCAUAAAUGUGCAUAUUUUCUCAGAUGCAUAUUUCACUGCCUAUCCCAAAUUUCCACUUGCCCAGUACUUGGUGUGACUGUUGAUUUUCCCUCUGUGCUAGAGGCUGGUGGAGGUGUAUUGAACCCUUGCUUGAA